AAUGGUAGUUUUUCUCCGCCUCUUCAUUUUUUUUUCUUCUCUUCAUGGCGAACUACCCAGAUCUCUCAAAAACGAACAUAAUCUUCCAAAAAUCAAAGCAAUCUUCUUUAAAACCAAUCCGAAUUUGUGAGAUCUGCUGGACUCAAUCUGAUUUGUGAAAUGGGUUUCGAGUUCAAGCUAUUUUUAUCUCUUUUCUUUUUUUCAGAUGAGGGUUGAAACCCUUACUUAUUUGUAAGAUCUUUCAACUCAUCUCACAAAUAUAAUCCCGUCUUUCAUAAACCUAAUCAAUAUUUGGUCAUCCAAAUCUCGGUUUAAACCCUAGAUAUGAUUUUGUCCUUCAAAAACAGCUAGCAAACUAUUCUCUCUAUUUUUCUGAAUUUGAGGUUUGAGUUUGAUUACUCUUACUGUGUAUGUUCACAUCAGUUAUUGAUUUUAUAGAUUUUUUUUGUUUAGUUUUGAUUUUCGCAUUUAUAAGUAGACAGAAUCGUUAAGGUUUAACAAUUGGAGGGUUCUUUUUCGUUUGGAUAUUGUUUAGUUUAUUUCUAAUAGAAUUUAAUCGCUUGGAUCUGAGAUUUAUGGGUUUGUGUUGUGUUAAUCUGGUUGUUUUGUUUUUUCUUGUUGAUACCUGAAAUUAUUGAUUCUGAAAAGAAUGAGUGACCCUUCGGUUCAGGCAAGCAUAAUUUUCACUUGCUUACUUGAAGCACCGAGUAUAUAUGAAAGCUUUACCUUUUGGUUUGUUGGAUAUUUCGAGGUAUAUGUAAUUGAAUCAUACACAUCAAAUUUGAUUAUCUUUCUUUUGUCAUAGUGUUCGGAUAUCUGACAGUUGCAAGAGUAAGUGCUUUUACUGCAGCAGCAGCAGCAGCUCACAUUGGCAACAGGUGAUAAGUCACCAUCUUCUAAACAGCAGGAUCACGGAAAGCUAUGUAUCUAGAACAUGUUCAGAUUGACGGAGGAGAAUACUGUACAGAGAUUUUUUGCUAAGCAUAUCACAAAAACUGUCUUAACGAUAUCACAAGGAAAAUCAUAUCCCCUACAGUUCCCCUGGAUUGAUGUUGUUUAGUCACUACCAAGCCAAUAUUAACAACAAUGUUGCUGCGUGUAGAAGAGAGUGAGAGUAUUUUGCAAGUGUCCCUGAGAACAGGCGUUUCACUCAUGGGGUAUCCCACAAAUGAUUCCAUAUCUAGUAGAUUCUGCCAUCAGAGCUAGUUCAGUUGUGUAUCGAAUUUCCCCAUACUCCCCUCAGGAAAUAUAUACUCACCAGUUGGAUUAAUUGUAGCACUAGAGAGGUCCGAGAGGAUGUAAAUGGUGGGUUCUACUCAGAUAAUCUGGUAUGUACAUUUUGCAAAUGUAUUCUUUGGGUUCAUGAUUGCCUGAUGCGAGCUUGGACUUACUUUUGGGUUUCUUAUAAAGCCAUGAAGAAAAAAAAACAGCGAUUGGCAGCAAGCACGGGAUGUUGGAGUUGUUCUUGGAGCUAAUACAGUUGAAAAUUAAGGCUAAGAACGAGCAGUGCAGUUGAAAGUUAAGGCUAACACUACGCCAAAUCCAGGCUAAGAACAAGAGGAGGCCAAAUCCAGGCUAAGAACGAGAGGUGCGAGUAAAUCUAUUGCUUAUUUCCUUGUGCUUGACAUAAAUUUAAGACAAUACAUGGGAGAUUGGCUUCAGAGGAAUUGAAACACAUUAGACAUGCAGUUGGUUUCUCAGCAUGGCUCUUUUAUCUAGUCCAGCAUGAGAAUAUUGAUGACCGCGGAUUCAUCAAUGGAACUUCGUUUUUAUUAGUCGGUGAACAUAUCAGAGUAGUGUUAUUGCCUGCAUAGGUGUGGGUUCAAACUAAGUUCAUAAUGUUGUAAAUUGUUGCAAGGAUGAGUAAUAUAUUGUCUUAUCAGGUCAUGGUUCUAUAUUAUUUGUAAAUACUAGAAUUCCGAAAAUACUAAUACAGAUUUU
Long non-coding RNA from Papaver somniferum (opium poppy), 1941 nucleotides. RefSeq lists it as uncharacterized. The transcript is spliced from 7 exons. The record is from RefSeq and is a predicted model, not a curated record. Lineage: Eukaryota; Viridiplantae; Streptophyta; Magnoliopsida; Ranunculales; Papaveraceae.